UUGUUGCAGUUAAAAAGCUCGUAGUUGGACUUUAGGCAAGGCGGCCUGGUCACCCUCUGGGUGUACUGGGAUCGCUGCGCCUCACCUUCGGGGAGCUAGUCGUGCUUCGGUGCGCUAGGGAACCGAGCCUUACCUUGAGGAAAUUAGAGUGUUUAAAGCAGGCUUAUGCUUGAAUACGUUAGCAUGGAAUAACAUGAUAGGACUUUGGUUCUAUUUUGUUGGUUUGAGGACCAAAGUAAUGAUUAAUAGGGACAGUUGGGGGCAUUAGUAUUCAAUAGUCAGAGGUGAAAUUCUUGGAUUUAUUGAAGACUAACUAAUGCGAAAGCAUUUGCCAAGGAUGUUUUCAUUAAUCAAGAACGAAAGUUAGGGGAUCGAAGACGAUUAGAUACCGUCGUAGUCUUAACCAUAAACUAUGCCGACUAGGGAUCGGUGGAAGUCGAUUUUGACUCCAUCGGCACCUUACGAGAAGUCAAAGUUUUUGGGUUCUGGGGGGAGUAUGGUCGCAAGGCUGAAACUUAAAGGAAUUGACGGAAGGGCACCACCAGGAGUGGAGCCUGCGGCUUAAUUUGACUCAACACGGGAAAACUCACCAGGUCCGGACAUGGGAAGGAUUG
This 614-nucleotide ribosomal RNA is filed under the name uncultured eukaryote. Its description in RNAcentral is "SSU rRNA". It matches the Rfam family "Eukaryotic small subunit ribosomal RNA", at positions 610 to 1242 of the family's 1831-position model. The record is from RNAcentral.